ACGGAAGGCAGCAGUGAGGAAUAUUGGUCAAUGGGCGGAAGCCUGAACCAGCCAAGUCGCGUGAAGGAUGAAGGUAUUAUGUAUUGUAAACUUCUUUAGCAGCAGAGUAAUAAGGGGGUCGUGACCCCCGAUGCAAGUAUGCUGAAAAUAAGGAUCGGCUAACUCCGUGCCAGCAGCCGCGGUAAUACGGAGGAUCCGAGCGUUAUCCGGAUUUAUUGGGUUUAAAGGGUGCGCAGGCGGUUUUUUAAGUCAGUGGUUAAAUCGUGAGGCUCAACCUCAUCACGCCAUUGAUACUGGAAGACUUGAUUGCGGUUGAGGUUGGCGGAAUUCGUCGUGUAGCGGUGAAAUGCAUAGAUAUGACGAAGAACACCGAUUGCGUAGGCAGCUGACCAAGCCGUAAAUGACGCUCAUGCACGAAAGUGCGGGGAUCGGACAGGAUUAGAUACCCUGGUA
This 453-nucleotide ribosomal RNA is filed under the name uncultured Porphyromonadaceae bacterium. Its description in RNAcentral is "partial 16S ribosomal RNA". It matches the Rfam family "Bacterial small subunit ribosomal RNA", at positions 341 to 792 of the family's 1533-position model. The record is from RNAcentral. Lineage: Bacteria; Pseudomonadati; Bacteroidota; Bacteroidia; Bacteroidales; Porphyromonadaceae.